CUCCAGUGGAGGGGGACGCUGGAUGGGACCCACCAGCCCCAAGGUCCCCACCAGCCACCUGCCUGCCCUCGCUGUCUCCCAGCCUGUCCCCACUCUGGGGCGGCAGGCAGGACCCUGGAUGUGACCUGCCUGCCCCAGCCCCACGAGGUCCCCACCAGCCACCUGCCUGCCCUCGCUGUCUCCCAGCCUGUCCCCACUCUGGGACGGCAGGCAGAUGGAGCCUGUGCCUUUUCCUGUCACUGGUUGCUCUUCUCUGCUUCUGCUACUCGUCCCCCAUGACCCCAGCGAGGACACCUUGUCCGCCAGCCCUUCCUGACCUCAGCUGGCCCUUUCCCACCAAGGCUGGGUCCCACAGUCUGAGGCCGAGGGGGUGGUGGGGCAGAGGUGCUGUGCUCUCCCUGGCCUCCGGGCCCGGCACCUGCUCUUCUCUCCCAAGCGCUCAGUGACUUCACUCAGUCCCACAGGGCUGGUGGCUCUUCUCAGCACGGUACUUGGGACUGUGCCUCCUGGCACACCUUCCCUCCACUCCUGCGUGUGGGCCAAGGCCCCAGGGAGGAACAGUCCCGGGUCUCGGCAGCCCCACAUCAUCACAAAUCCUCAACAGGCGUCAGCCCUUCCUCACAGGUGCCAUCCUCUCCAGGUGCCCGCGGAUGGGCCGGCCUGUUCUGCAGUCCCCACUCUGUCUGCGUCCCCUUCUCUCUUUGUCACAGUCCCCGUGAAACCAGCCAUGGUUCUGGGACACGGUGGCCCACACUUCUGGCACGACAAAGCACAGGGGCUGUGGGAAGAGGCUGGGGAGGGAUGUUCUGGCAUCAAGGGGCUAAAAGCAGAAAGAACCCAGUUGUCGUGCUUUCCCCCUGGGGACGCGUGUGCUGGCCAGCGGAGCCCAGAGCAGCCGGGGCGCACUAGCUUCAGGUGUGGGAAGCGCAGCUGGCUCCGGGCCAGUCUCCAACAGAUGCCAGGAACGUGGCCGGUGCAGCAUCCACCACCAGGCCCAUGACCCUCAGCUGCCGCCUGACCACACCAGCACUGCCCUCCCCUGACAGUCAGCCCUGGACGGGGACCCUGUAGCUCCCGGUGACCUGUGGGGCAGCUGAGUGCCUCUGUGCCAGCAGUCAUUGUUCUCCCCAGGACACAGAGGGACAAGGACGCCUGGCCAGCAAGCAGCAGCCCUCAGUGCUGGGUUUGCUGGACGCCCCCGAGUGGGUGUGGAGAUGAGCAGAAGGGGCCAUGUCCCCCUGGAGAGCAGGCAGGCUCUGACAACCGCCAGGGUUGGUGCCUGGGCCUCUCUGCAGCCUGGCACUGGGGACACACCCCUUCCAGGUGUCUGGGGCCCUCUGAGCCUCUCUGAGUGAAGGGCAGAGCCCCUCAACAUUCUCACACUCCUGGGGACCAGAGGGCCCAGGCCAGAGCCAGACUUGUGGUCACUUCAGCACUGCCCGCACUGGGCCUCCAGCCCUGAGCACACCCCCCUCCUCUGAGCCUCAGUUUCCCUCCCUGUAAAGCAAAA
RNAcentral lists this long non-coding RNA (1510 nucleotides) under Marmota monax (woodchuck). The record is from RNAcentral. Lineage: Eukaryota; Metazoa; Chordata; Mammalia; Rodentia; Sciuridae.